RNAcentral lists this ribosomal RNA (468 nucleotides) under uncultured bacterium. Its description in RNAcentral is "partial 16S ribosomal RNA". It matches the Rfam family "Bacterial small subunit ribosomal RNA", at positions 28 to 507 of the family's 1533-position model. The record is from RNAcentral.
GACGAACGCUGGCGGCGUGCUUAACACAUGCAAGUCGAACGGAAAGGCCCUGCUUUUGUGGUGUUCUCGAGUGGCGAACGGGGGAGUAACACGUGAGUAACCUGCCCUUGACUUUGGGAUAACUUCAGGAAACUGGGGCUAAUACCGGAUAGGAGCUCCUGCUCCAUGGUGGGGGUUGGAAAGUUUCGGCGGUUGGGGAUGGACUCGCGGCUUAUCAGCUUGUUGGUGGGGUAGUGGCUUACCAAGGCUUUGACGGGUAGCCGGCCUGAGAGGGUGACCGGCGACAUUGGGACUGAGGUACGGCCCAGACUCGUACGGGAGGCAGCAGUGGGGAAUAUUGCACAAUGGGCGGAAGCCUGAUGCAGAAACGCCGCGUGCGGGAUGACGGCCUUCGGGUUGUAAACCGCUUUCGCCUGUGACGAAGCGUGAGUGACGGUAAUGGGUAAAGAAGCACCGGCUAACUACGUG